UCCUUGGUGGUCCAGUUGUUAAGACUCUGUGCUGUCACUCCAGGGGGCUCAGGUUCAAUCCCUGGUCAGAGAA
This 73-nucleotide transfer RNA is filed under the name Bos taurus (domestic cattle). It matches the Rfam family "tRNA". From Rfam's summary of the family: Transfer RNA (tRNA) molecules are approximately 80 nucleotides in length. Lineage: Eukaryota; Metazoa; Chordata; Mammalia; Artiodactyla; Bovidae. RNAcentral also lists the same sequence under 5 other names. The record is from Rfam by way of RNAcentral.